GAGGAUAUAGCUCAGUGGUAGAGCACGUGCUUAGCAUGCAUGAAGUCCUGGGUUCAAUCCCCAGUACCUCCA
Molecule: transfer RNA, 72 nt
Filed under: Camelus bactrianus (Bactrian camel)
Lineage: Eukaryota; Metazoa; Chordata; Mammalia; Artiodactyla; Camelidae
Also listed under: 3 other names
Rfam family: tRNA
About the family: Transfer RNA (tRNA) molecules are approximately 80 nucleotides in length. Their secondary structure includes four short double-helical elements and three loops (D, anti-codon, and T loops).
Source: Rfam by way of RNAcentral